CCUACGGGGUGCUGCAGUGGGGAAUAUUGGACAAUGGGCGAAAGCCUGGUCCAGCCAUGCCGCGUGUGUGAAGAAGGCCUUCGGGUUGUAAAGCACUUUCAGUGGGGAAGAAAGCCUUGGGGCUAAUACCCUCGAGGAAGGACAUCACCCACAGAAGAAGCACCGGCUAACUCCGUGCCAGCAGCCGCGGUAAUACGGAGGGUGCGAGCGUUAAUCGGAAUUACUGGGCGUAAAGCGCGCGUAGGCGGUCUGAUAAGCCGGUUGUGAAAGCCCCGGGCUCAACCUGGGAACGGCAUCCGGAACUGUCAGGCUAGAGUGCAGGAGAGGAAGGUAGAAUUCCCGGUGUAGCGGUGAAAUGCGUAGAGAUCGGGAGGAAUACCAGUGGCGAAGGCGGCCUUCUGGUCUGACACUGACGCUGAGGUGCGAAAGCGUGGGUAGCAAACAGGAUUAGAUACCCGUGUAGUC
This 465-nucleotide ribosomal RNA is filed under the name Vreelandella stevensii. Its description in RNAcentral is "partial 16S ribosomal RNA". It matches the Rfam family "Bacterial small subunit ribosomal RNA", at positions 338 to 795 of the family's 1533-position model. The record is from RNAcentral. Lineage: Bacteria; Pseudomonadati; Pseudomonadota; Gammaproteobacteria; Oceanospirillales; Halomonadaceae.